AAUGAACGCCGGCGGCAGGCCUAACACAUGCAAGUCGAACGAGGUAGCAAUACCUAGUGGCGGACGGGUGAGUAACGCGUGGGAACGUGCCCCUUGGUGCGGAAUAGCCCUGGGAAACUGGGAGUAAUACCGUAUGUGGUCGAGAGACGAAAGAUUUAUCGCCAAGGGAUCGGCCCGCGUUGGAUUAGGUAGUUGGUGGGGUAAUGGCCUACCAAGCCGACGAUCCAUAGCUGGUUUGAGAGGAUGAUCAGCCACACUGGGACUGAGACACGGCCCAGACUCCUACGGGAGGCAGCAGUGGGGAAUCUUAGACAAUGGGGGAAACCCUGAUCUAGCCAUGCCGCGUGAUCGAUGAAGGCCUUAGGGUUGUAAAGAUCUUUCAGUGGGGAAGAUAAUGACGGUACCCACAGAAGAAGCCCCGGCUAACUCCGUGCCAGCCGCCGCCGUAA
This 449-nucleotide ribosomal RNA is filed under the name uncultured bacterium. RNAcentral describes it as "partial 16S ribosomal RNA". It matches the Rfam family "Bacterial small subunit ribosomal RNA", at positions 29 to 523 of the family's 1533-position model. The record is from RNAcentral.